CGCGGAACGCGAAGAAACGGCGAUGGAAAUUUGGGUGUAAAGCGUAAGUCUAGUGGCGGACGGGUGAGUAACACGUGAGCAACCUGCCUUUUACAGUGGAAUAACGACGGGAAACUGUCGCUAAUACCGCAUGACAUAUCCGCUUGGCAUCGAGUGGGUAUCAAAGGAGAAAUCCGGUAAAAGAUGGGCUCGCGUCCGAUUAGGUAGUUGGUGAGGUAACGGCUCACCAAGCCCGCGAUCGGUAGCCGGACUGAGAGGUUGACCGGCCACAUUGGGACUGAGACACGGCCCAGACUCCUACGGGAGGCAGCAGUGGGGGAUAUUGCACAAUGGGGGAAACCCUGAUGCAGCGACGCCGCGUGGGUGAAGACGGUCUUCGGAUUGUAAAGCCCUGUUGCAGAGGACGAAUACUGACGGUACUCUGUGAGGAAGCCACGGCUAACUACGUGCCAGCAGCCGCGGUAAU
This 466-nucleotide ribosomal RNA is filed under the name uncultured bacterium. RNAcentral describes it as "bacterial SSU rRNA". It matches the Rfam family "Bacterial small subunit ribosomal RNA", at positions 45 to 524 of the family's 1533-position model. The record is from RNAcentral.